CCCUUAGAUGUUCUGGGCCGCACGCGCGCUACACUGAUGCAUUCAACGAGCCUAUCCUUGACCGACAGGUCCGGGUAAUCUUUGAAUCUGCAUCGUGACGGGGAUAGAUUAUUGCAAUUAUUAAUCUUCAACGAGGAGUGCCUAGUAGGCGCAAGUCAUCAGCUUGCGUCGAUUACGUCCCUGCCCUUUGUACACACCGCCCGUCGCUCCUACCGAUUGGGUGUGCUGGUGAAAUGUUCGGAUCGGCCGUUUGUCGCGGUUUCCGCGUCAUGUGGCUGAGAAGUUCAUUAAACCCUCCCACCUACAGGAAGGAGAAGUCGUAACA
RNAcentral lists this ribosomal RNA (325 nucleotides) under uncultured eukaryote. RNAcentral describes it as "partial 18S ribosomal RNA". It matches the Rfam family "Eukaryotic small subunit ribosomal RNA", at positions 1470 to 1796 of the family's 1831-position model. The record is from RNAcentral.